This 424-nucleotide ribosomal RNA is filed under the name uncultured prokaryote. Its description in RNAcentral is "bacterial SSU rRNA". It matches the Rfam family "Bacterial small subunit ribosomal RNA", at positions 355 to 796 of the family's 1533-position model. The record is from RNAcentral.
UGGGGAAUAUUGGACAAUGGGGGCAACCCUGAUCCAGCAAUGCCGCGUGAGUGAAGAAGGCCCUAGGGUUGUAAAGCUCUUUCAGUGGGGAAGAUAAUGACGGUACCCACAGAAGAAGCCCCGGCUAACUCCGUGCCAGCAGCCGCGGUAAUACGGAGGGGGCUAGCGUUGUUCGGAUUUACUGGGCGUAAAGCGCGCGUAGGCGGUUUUUCAAGUUGGGCGUGAAAUCCCAGGGCUUAACCCCGGAACUGCGCUCAAAACUGGAUUACUCGAGGCCGGGAGAGGGUAGUGGAAUUCCCAGUGUAGAGGUGAAAUUCGUAGAUAUUGGGAAGAACACCGGUGGCGAAGGCGGCUACCUGGACCGGAUCUGACGCUGAGGCGCGAAAGCGUGGGGAGCAAACAGGAUUAGAUACCCCCGUAGUCC